RNAcentral lists this ribosomal RNA (501 nucleotides) under uncultured bacterium. Its description in RNAcentral is "partial 16S ribosomal RNA". It matches the Rfam family "Bacterial small subunit ribosomal RNA", at positions 30 to 523 of the family's 1533-position model. The record is from RNAcentral.
AUUGAACGCUGGCGGCAGGCUUAACACAUGCAAGUCGAGCGGGGAAAGGUAGCUUGCUACCUGACCUAGCGGCGGACGGGUGAGUAAUGCUUAGGAAUCUGCCUAUUAGUGGGGGACAACAUCUCGAAAGGGAUGCUAAUACCGCAUACGUCCUACGGGAGAAAGCAGGGGACCUUCGGGCCUUGCGCUAAUAGAUGAGCCUAAGUCGGAUUAGCUAGUUGGUGGGGUAAAGGCCUACCAAGGCGACGAUCUGUAGCGGGUCUGAGAGGAUGAUCCGCCACACUGGGACUGAGACACGGCCCAGACUCCUACGGGAGGCAGCAGUGGGGAAUAUUGGACAAUGGGGGGAACCCUGAUCCAGCCAUGCCGCGUGUGUGAAGAAGGCCUUUUGGUUGUAAAGCACUUUAAGCGAGGAGGAGGCUACCGAGAUUAAUACUCUUGGAUAGUGGACGUUACUCGCAGAAUAAGCACCGGCUAACUCUGUGCCAGCAGCCGCCGUAA